Molecule: ribosomal RNA, 501 nt
Filed under: uncultured bacterium
Lineage: Bacteria
Description: partial 16S ribosomal RNA
Rfam family: Bacterial small subunit ribosomal RNA
Source: RNAcentral
AUUGAACGCUGGCGGCAUGCCUUACACAUGCAAGUCGAACGGCAGCACGGGUGCUUGCACCUGGUGGCGAGUGGCGAACGGGUGAGUAAUAUAUCGGAACGUACCUUAUUGUGGGGGAUAACGCAGCGAAAGCUGUGCUAAUACCGCAUAAUCCCUAAGGGGGAAAGCGGGGGACCGUAAGGCCUCGCGCAAUUAGAGCGGCCGAUACCUGAUUAGCUAGUUGGUGAGGUAAAGGCUCGCCAAGGCAACGAUCAGUAGCUGGACUGAGGGGACGAUCAGCCACACUGGGACUGAGACACGGCCCAGACUCCUACGGGAGGCAGCAGUGGGGAAUUUUGGACAAUGGGGGCAACCCUGAUCCAGCAAUGCCGCGUGAGUGAAGAAGGCCUUCGGGUUGUAAAGCUCUUUUGUCAGGGAAGAAACAGCAGCUCUAACACAGUUUGCGAAUGACGGUACCUGAAGAAUAAGCACCGGCUAACUACGUGCCAGCCGCCGCAGUAA